UUGGAGGGCAAGUCUGGUGCCAGCAGCCGCGGCAAUUCCAGCUCCAAUAGCGUAUAUUAAAGUUGUUGCAGUUAAAAAGCUCGUAGUUGAAUUUCGGGAUCAAUUUAUCGGUCGUGCCAAUGGUAUGAACUGGUACAAUUGGUUUCUCCCUUCUGACGAAGCAUGAUGUCAUUAAUUUGGUGUCGUGGGGAAUCAGGACUGUUACUUUGAAAAAAUUAGAGUGUUUAAAGCAAGCAUUAGCUUGAAUACAUUAGCAUGGAAUAAUGAAAUAGGACGUUUGAUCCUAUUUCGUUGGUUUCUAGGAUCGACGUAAUGAUUAAUAGGGAUAGUUGGGGGCAUUAGUAUUCAAUUGUCAGAGGUGAAAUUCUUGGAUUUAUUGAAGACUAACUACUGCGAAAGCAUUUGCCAAGGAUGUUUUCAUUAAUCAAGAGCGAAAGUUAGGGGAUCGAAGACGAUCAGAUACCGUCGUAGUCUUAACCAUAAACUAUGCCGACUAGGGAUCGGAUGAUGUUAAUUUUUUAAUGACUCAUUCGGCGCCUUACGGGAAAC
This 549-nucleotide ribosomal RNA is filed under the name uncultured Glomus. RNAcentral's name for it is "SSU rRNA". It matches the Rfam family "Eukaryotic small subunit ribosomal RNA", at positions 548 to 1098 of the family's 1831-position model. The record is from RNAcentral. Lineage: Eukaryota; Fungi; Glomeromycota; Glomeromycetes; Glomerales; Glomeraceae.